This 252-nucleotide unclassified non-coding RNA is filed under the name Hevea brasiliensis (rubber tree). The record is from RNAcentral. Lineage: Eukaryota; Viridiplantae; Streptophyta; Magnoliopsida; Malpighiales; Euphorbiaceae.
GGCCGAUGAGAUGAGGUUCCGAUACCGUUGGGCGAGUCCACUCCACUAUAUUAACACACCUGGAGUCUGUAACUACGCUGAGUCGAGAGAUUGUCACAAUUCUAAAGGUGAGAAAGGCAUGUGUGUUGUUGGAGCAAUCAACAACUACACUAAUCAACUUCAAACUUUUGGAGAGUCUCCUAAUAAAUAUAACCUUACAGAGAGUUUAAUGUUCCUUGCCCAUUUCGUGGGAGAUGUUCACCAACCAUUACA